Molecule: unclassified non-coding RNA, 300 nt
Organism: Heterocephalus glaber (naked mole-rat)
Lineage: Eukaryota; Metazoa; Chordata; Mammalia; Rodentia; Bathyergidae
Rfam family: Metazoan signal recognition particle RNA
About the family: The signal recognition particle (SRP) is a universally conserved ribonucleoprotein.
Source: Ensembl
GCCGGGCGUGGUGGCGCGCGCCUGUAGUCCCAGCUACUCGGGAGGCUGAGGUGGGAGGAUCGCUUGAGUCCAGGAGUUCUGGGCUGCAGUGCGCUAUGCCGAUCGGGUGUCCGCACUAAGUUCGGCAUCAAUAUGGUGACCUCCCGGGAGCGGGGGACCACCAGGUUGCCUAAGGAGGGGUGAACCGGCCCAGGUCGGAAACGGAGCAGGUCAAAACUCCCGUGCUGAUCAGUAGUGGGAUCGCGCCUGUGAAUAGCCACUGUACUCCAGCCUGGGCAAUACAGUGAGACCCUGUCUCUU